RNAcentral lists this long non-coding RNA (707 nucleotides) under Homo sapiens (human). RNAcentral describes it as "HSALNT0016127". Lineage: Eukaryota; Metazoa; Chordata; Mammalia; Primates; Hominidae. The record is from RNAcentral.
AGCAAAUUCACCCUCUACCCAAGAGGCUACAAAACAGUUAGUUCCUACCUCUAACCCAACUAAAGGCUGGGGAAACUUGAGCAGAUACGUUCUAUCAGUUUGAACCCAAUUACCAUCUUACCAUUUUCCAAAGAUAUGCUAUACCUGGUUUCUUUACUAAAAUGUUUCUGCUUGACUCUCUGGGCUUGGGAAUAGUAGGCGAGUGCGGGAGAGGUGCAGAGAUGAGUUAGAAUAGCUUAGGCAGGAGGGUGCAAAAGGCUUAGGGAAUUUUCCUGGGUGGGUGCCACGACAAGGCCUCUAAAUCUCCCACCUCCUGUCUCUUAGCAACCACCAGGUUAGCUCCUGAUUGGUUCGUCCUCAAUUGAAAGGCGGGAUUUAGGGACCGAUUGAGACGCGGGAGACAUUCUGAAACAGAAAGGAAGGGAGAGAAAAUGAAGAGAAAGGAAAUAAUUUACAAACCUAAAUUAUGCUCUGGUUUCCAACCACAGUUCAUGAAUGUGUUCUAGUAUUUUUUCCCCCGCUUUUUUUUUUCCAGGCUUCUCUCAAUAUCCCCCUCCCGUCCUUGACCACUCUUGCAAUUCUACCAGAUGUUGCUGUCCUCCCUUACAAGAGGAAUUCUGAUUGAGAACUUCACUGGGAUUUCAAACCCAAUUCAUCGCCAACUCUAAUUGCCAGAGAUUUGCAUGAAAACCAUCGUAUGCUAUCUA